GUAAUACAAUAAUAAUCAAUAUAAGACCUUAAAAAA
Molecule: small RNA, 36 nt
Filed under: Anaerobutyricum hallii
Lineage: Bacteria; Bacillati; Bacillota; Clostridia; Lachnospirales; Lachnospiraceae
Description: CRISPR_Spacer
Source: RNAcentral